ACGGAGGAAGGGGAUUAUCAGGUAAAACUACGCAACCUGAUACGUUUCCUUAAUGAUGGGGACAAGGCCAAGGUAUCCCUGCGAUUCCGUGGUCGUGAGAUGGCUCACCAGGAGCUGGGCAUGGAGCUGUUGAAGCGGGUCGAGAACGACCUCGCGGAAUACGGCAGUGUCGAGCAAUUUCCUAAGCUGGAAGGACGCCAGCUGAUGAUGGUCAUCGCCCCCAAAAAGCGAAAAUAACCUCCAGGGCACUGGCAGGCCUUGUGGUUAUGUGUAUUGACUGAAUGCGGAGUAUCCGAACAUGCCAA
RNAcentral lists this unclassified non-coding RNA (305 nucleotides) under Pseudomonas indica. RNAcentral describes it as "Long range pseudoknot". Lineage: Bacteria; Pseudomonadati; Pseudomonadota; Gammaproteobacteria; Pseudomonadales; Pseudomonadaceae. The record is from RNAcentral.